UGAACGCUGGCGGCGUGCCUAAUACAUGCAAGUCGAGCGAACAGACGAGGAGCUUGCUCCUCUGUCGUUAGCGGCGGACGGGUGAGUAACACGUGGAUAACCUACCUAUAAGACUGGGAUAACUUCGGGAAACCGGAGCUAAUACCGGAUAAUAUAUUGAACCGCAUGGUUCAAUAGUGAAAGACGGUUUUGCUGUCACUUAUAGAUGGAUCCGCGCCGCAUUAGCUAGUUGGUAAGGUAACGGCUUACCAAGGCAACGAUGCGUAGCCGACCUGAGAGGGUGAUCGGCCACACUGGAACUGAGACACGGUCCAGACUCCUACGGGAGGCAGCAGUAGGGAAUCUUCCGCAAUGGGCGAAAGCCUGACGGAGCAACGCCGCGUGAGUGAUGAAGGUCUUCGGAUCGUAAAACUCUGUUAUUAGGGAAGAACAAAUGUGUAAGUAACUAUGCACGUCUUGACGGUACCUAAUCAGAAAGCCACGGCUAACUACGUG
Molecule: ribosomal RNA, 495 nt
Filed under: uncultured bacterium
Lineage: Bacteria
Description: partial 16S ribosomal RNA
Rfam family: Bacterial small subunit ribosomal RNA
Source: RNAcentral